This 768-nucleotide ribosomal RNA is filed under the name Sphingobacteriaceae bacterium juv971. RNAcentral's name for it is "bacterial SSU rRNA". It matches the Rfam family "Bacterial small subunit ribosomal RNA", at positions 154 to 924 of the family's 1533-position model. The record is from RNAcentral. Lineage: Bacteria; Pseudomonadati; Bacteroidota; Sphingobacteriia; Sphingobacteriales; Sphingobacteriaceae.
UAAGAGAGAUUAAGACCGCAUAAUAUAUUGAAGUGGCAUCGCUUUAAUAUCAAAUAUUUAUAGGAUCAAGAUGGGCAUGCGGAACAUUAGCUAGUUGGUAAGGUAACGGCUUACCAAGGCUACGAUGUUUAGGGGAUCUGAGAGGAUGACCCCCCACACUGGUACUGAGACACGGACCAGACUCCUACGGGAGGCAGCAGUAAGGAAUAUUGGUCAAUGGGCGGAAGCCUGAACCAGCCAUGCCGCGUGCAGGAAGACGGCCCUACGGGUUGUAAACUGCUUUUGUACGGGAAUAAACCUACUUAUGUAUAAGUAGCUGAAUGUACUGUAAGAAUAAGGAUCGGCUAACUCCGUGCCAGCAGCCGCGGUAAUACGGAGGAUCCAAGCGUUAUCCGGAUUUAUUGGGUUUAAAGGGUGCGUAGGCGGCCUGUUAAGUCAGGGGUGAAAGACGGUAGCUCAACUAUCGCAGUGCCCUUGAUACUGAUGGGCUUGAAUGUACUUGAGGUAGGCGGAAUGUGACAAGUAGCGGUGAAAUGCAUAGAUAUGUCACAGAACACCAAUUGCGAAGGCAGCUUACUAAAGUAUGAUUGACGCUGAGGCACGAAAGCGUGGGGAUCAAACAGGAUUAGAUACCCUGGUAGUCCACGCCCUAAACGAUGAACACUCGAUGUUGGCGAUAUACGGUCAGCGUCUAAGCGAAAGCGUUAAGUGUUCCACCUGGGGAGUACGCCCGCAAGGGUGAAACUCAAAGGAAUUGACGGGGCCCGC